RNAcentral lists this long non-coding RNA (387 nucleotides) under Carica papaya (papaya). RNAcentral describes it as "long non-coding RNA (CPAP_LNC001850)". Lineage: Eukaryota; Viridiplantae; Streptophyta; Magnoliopsida; Brassicales; Caricaceae. The record is from RNAcentral.
UAAUUUGACAAAAUUAUGUAUUAGAUGAUUUAAAAGAGACUAUCAAAAUUGAGGAAAACAAGGAUGAAAUCAUGUAGAAGAACUGAGAGACUUCCAAAAAUUGUUACAGGAAGGACUGAUUUAAAACAGAAUGAGGCCAUCUGUAGAAGAGCUACAAAAUUCCUAAAACCAUUAGAAGAGGAAUUGACUAAAAUAGAAUGGAGUAUUUUGUAGAAGGAUCGCGACAAUUCCAAAUUCAUUACGAAGGGGGGGGAAGAGAAAGGAGGAAGGAGAGGGAGCAAGCAUAAGGGAACACCAUGGGCUAGGAAAUGAGCUAAGGAGUAGAAGGGGAAUCAACACGACCUGCUCUGUCCACAAACCAAGAAGGUGAAUUCAUUUCAUCCCUUU